Molecule: transfer RNA, 71 nt
Filed under: Pediococcus acidilactici
Lineage: Bacteria; Bacillati; Bacillota; Bacilli; Lactobacillales; Lactobacillaceae
Description: tRNA-Gly
Rfam family: tRNA
About the family: Transfer RNA (tRNA) molecules are approximately 80 nucleotides in length. Their secondary structure includes four short double-helical elements and three loops (D, anti-codon, and T loops).
Source: RNAcentral
GCGAACGUAGUUUAGUGGUAAAAUCCAAGCUUCCCAAGCUUGCGUCGCGGGUUCGAUUCCCGUCGUUCGCU